CCGUAUUCAUAUGCCUGGCAGCACGUUUAAAUGCGCAGAAGGUGGCACUUCUCUGUAGCAGUGUUUUUAGUGACUGUUAGGACUCCAUGCUGUUCAUGCCACCCUAGGUUGUACUUCUGUCGGGUUGCUAGGUGGCCGUUGAGGAGCAGCCUGCCGAAGAACGGAGGGCCUAGCCUGCGACUCCUGCUCUCCAUAACGUCGCGAUCGAGGCGCGAGCCCUGCGGAUCGAGGUAGCGGUGGGAGGCGGGGAGGAGGCUGAAGACCCUGGUGGUCUACCUGGAAGAGUACCUGUUGGAGUAGUGAUCGAAAGGAUCCUCGGUGGUCAGCUCAGCGGAGGUGGUUGGCGUCCGUGGUGCUGGUCUAGGAGGGUGGCACCGAGAGGACGCCGGCCACAACCCAAAACUAUGUGGCCGACAAGAUGGUGCGUGAGUAGGAUAACUCUUAUUGUGUCCGUUCGCUAGGUCGUCUAGCCGGAGGGGGUCGUCGAGCAGCGGAGAUGGUCCGGUAGGGGGGAGGGGAAGUCCAGAGGUCGUCUAGCGGCCGCAGCGGGGGUCCAGCAAAGGGAUCCAGCGGGUUCGAGCCGGGUCCGACAGGAGCAAAGUCCAGCGGCCGUGGCGGUUAGCGGAGCGAAGUCCAGCGGGUUCGGUCGGCCGCGGCGGAGGGUCUAGCUCCAGUGGCCGUCGAUUAGCGGAGCGAAGUCCAGCGGGUUUCGCGCGACGGUACCACCCGCGAGGCUCUCCUGCUGCUGCCGCAGAAGUCCACCUGUUGUAACUACUUUCACUGAAUAAACUACUAUACCAAGUUCUCUACCUUGUCUAAAAUGAGUUAAGUCCCCUCGGGGCACUUUCACCUGGAAGAUGACUAUUGGCGCACUUAUUACGAGUGGUUUUAGUCGUAAAGUCUCUACCGUCGUGGUGACGGAGAUGGAGACCAUGUCUACUACGUAUACAUAUAGGGGAAAGAGCGUUAGAAAGCUUUUAACUAAGCCACCUCCAACACCCCCGUUUCGUUUCUUGUCCCCUACAAAGAAAGCCGCUCGCCUACCAACCCCAGUUUCUCAUGUGACAUAUGAACAACUUUCACUCCUCACCGCUUCUACUGACCCUUUAACUCGCAGCUAUGGCACUUAAAAUACGUGAAAUAGUUGUUGAGUUCGAGAAGAAAAGACUCUUUCCUAACUCAGAAGGUGGGGGUACCUAUUUACAACUCUUCCUCAGGUCAUUUUACAAACCCUUACGUAGGCGUCUACAACAGUUACCUUCUUCACCAGAAUAAGUUCUGACGAAUACGAGAAACGAGCAGAGAUUAAUAGGGAAACCUUGUGGGAGGGGAGACCAAUUAAAAAACAGUGGCCCCUGUGGACGAAUACUUGUUUCGAAAAAUUUCUACGAAAAAGGUGCUAGAAACUUUUCCGACUCGUCGCUAAAUGUAUGGUUUCUAAGUCUGACAUUACCUCGAGACGUGUUCCUAAGAUGGAGCUACCCGUUCUGUUAUAGUGAACAACACCUCCUAUCCGGAGUCUUCAGCUGAUCUGUCAACAACCUCAAAGUUGUGAUGUUAACACGCCCUACAGUAUCCGUAAACCUACGACCUGCUUGUAACGACGUUCUUGAACAUGUUUGAUAACCUACCUUGUUCGGAGCCAAAACACGAAUGUGACCUGUCAAUAAAACACGGAGAACAGUGUGUUUACUAUGACGCCAAGACGGUCGUUCUCAAAAUGUGGUGACCCUAAAAAGAAAUAUAGGUCAAAGGGUCGAUCGUUUUCGUAAAAACCUGAGGUAGAUACUGGUCGGAUACGAGACACAUUCACGACAGUUGGGAAAGGAAAAACGAUUUCACGGACGAGACGAAUUGUAGUACUCAUAGGCCUUCUUUUAUCGACGGUACGAAGGAACAGAGGUUACAGGAAAAGCCUUGAGGUAUAAAUCUCCUAAUCCACAAGCUUCUAUGGAAGAACUACCCUUACUGAAAAAACGCGAAGCACUGGAACAACUAGAGAGCUUCCCUCGAAAACGUCCUUCUACUUCGAUGUUCUACACCAAGAACACCCAGUUAAAAGGUGUUUGUUACGAAUUCCUUUUAAUCACAGACGGGGACACCAUUCUCACGGUCGUGUCCGUACUUUUAGCACCGUGAUCUUGUUCGAUAUCUUAUGCCGAGUUUGUCCGACAGUUGACUCAAGUAGGGUGGGGGAAGAAAAAGAAGUAGCAGUUCUAAAAAGCGGCCAUAAGAAAGCUUUCGUUCCGGUCUAUUCUAAACCUUUGGCUCUCUGUCGUUAGGACACUAAAACUACCCAAGUAACGGCCUAUGCAGAUACACUCAAGUCGAAUCGACGUACACACCCCAAAUAGUAUUGUUAAAAAAUGAACGCACUUACGACAUAUAAAACGACGCUGUCAUAUCGUUUCUCUUCCCUAAGAGUGACGACAAAGACAUACAACACGUUUAAAUUGAAGACGACAAACGUACCCUUCAAACUACUAGUCGGCGAUAAAAAUUUG
RNAcentral lists this ribosomal RNA (2504 nucleotides) under Triticum aestivum (bread wheat). RNAcentral's name for it is "partial small subunit ribosomal RNA". The record is from RNAcentral. Lineage: Eukaryota; Viridiplantae; Streptophyta; Magnoliopsida; Poales; Poaceae.